RNAcentral lists this ribosomal RNA (500 nucleotides) under Bacillus velezensis. RNAcentral's name for it is "bacterial SSU rRNA". It matches the Rfam family "Bacterial small subunit ribosomal RNA", at positions 850 to 1351 of the family's 1533-position model. The record is from RNAcentral. Lineage: Bacteria; Bacillati; Bacillota; Bacilli; Caryophanales; Bacillaceae.
AGCUAACGCAUUAAGCACUCCGCCUGGGGAGUACGGUCGCAAGACUGAAACUCAAAGGAAUUGACGGGGGCCCGCACAAGCGGUGGAGCAUGUGGUUUAAUUCGAAGCAACGCGAAGAACCUUACCAGGUCUUGACAUCCUCUGACAAUCCUAGAGAUAGGACGUCCCCUUCGGGGGCAGAGUGACAGGUGGUGCAUGGUUGUCGUCAGCUCGUGUCGUGAGAUGUUGGGUUAAGUCCCGCAACGAGCGCAACCCUUGAUCUUAGUUGCCAGCAUUCAGUUGGGCACUCUAAGGUGACUGCCGGUGACAAACCGGAGGAAGGUGGGGAUGACGUCAAAUCAUCAUGCCCCUUAUGACCUGGGCUACACACGUGCUACAAUGGACAGAACAAAGGGCAGCGAAACCGCGAGGUUAAGCCAAUCCCACAAAUCUGUUCUCAGUUCGGAUCGCAGUCUGCAACUCGACUGCGUGAAGCUGGAAUCGCUAGUAAUCGCGGAUCA